This 763-nucleotide ribosomal RNA is filed under the name uncultured Prevotella sp. Its description in RNAcentral is "bacterial SSU rRNA". It matches the Rfam family "Bacterial small subunit ribosomal RNA", at positions 28 to 776 of the family's 1533-position model. Lineage: Bacteria; Pseudomonadati; Bacteroidota; Bacteroidia; Bacteroidales; Prevotellaceae. The record is from RNAcentral.
GAUGAACGCUAGCUAUAGGCUUAACACAUGCAAGUCGAGGGGAAACGGCAUUAUGUGCUUGCACAUUCUGGACGUCGACCGGCGCACGGGUGAGUAUCGCGUAUCCAACCUUCCCUCCACUCGGGGAUACCCCGUUGAAAGACGGCCUAAUACCCGAUGUUGUCCACAUAUGGCAUCUGACGUGGACCAAAGAUUCAUCGGUGGAGGAUGGGGAUGCGUCUGAUUAGCUUGUUGGUGCGGGUAACGGCCCACCAAGGCGACGAUCAGUAGGGGUUCUGAGAGGAAGGUCCCCCACAUUGGAACUGAGACACGGUCCAAACUCCUACGGGAGGCAGCAGUGAGGAAUAUUGGUCAAUGGACGUAAGUCUGAACCAGCCAAGUAGCGUGCAGGAUUGACGGCCCUAUGGGUUGUAAACUGCUUUUGUUGGGGAGUAAAGUGAGGCACGCGUGCCUUUUUGCAUUUACCCUUCGAAUAAGGACCGGCUAAUUCCGUGCCAGCAGCCGCGGUAAUACGGAAGGUCCAGGCGUUAUCCGGAUUUAUUGGGUUUAAAGGGAGUGUAGGCGGUCUGUUAAGCGUGUUGUGAAAUUUAGGUGCUCAACAUUUAACUUGCAGCGCGAACUGGCGGACUUGAGUGCACGCAACGUAUGCGGAAUUCAUGGUGUAGCGGUGAAAUGCUUAGAUAUCAUGACGAACUCCGAUUGCGAAGGCAGCGUACGGGAGUGUUACUGACGCUUAAGCUCGAAGGUGCGGGUAUCGAACAGG